UAAAUCCUGGUAUAUACAAAGUAAUUUAUAAGACAGUUGUUUCAGAAGGAGGAGGGAUAGUAAAUGCACCCCAUAUUCACCUCAGCCUAGGCCCUUUGCGUGGUCUGUAUUGUGAAUGGGGGUACAUGA
Molecule: small nucleolar RNA, 129 nt
Organism: Suncus etruscus (white-toothed pygmy shrew)
Lineage: Eukaryota; Metazoa; Chordata; Mammalia; Eulipotyphla; Soricidae
Product: small nucleolar RNA SNORA51
Exons: 1
Source: RefSeq, a predicted model, not a curated record